Molecule: long non-coding RNA, 456 nt
Filed under: Felis catus (domestic cat)
Lineage: Eukaryota; Metazoa; Chordata; Mammalia; Carnivora; Felidae
Description: lncRNA (ENSFCAG00000045796.2)
Source: RNAcentral
ACUCGCAAAUACAUCACCUCCACGGAGGCUGACUCAUGAAAUUAGAACACAACAUCAUAAAGGAGCAGAGUGAAGGAGAGCUAGACUAGAACCACUUCCUGUCACUAAGCAUUCCAGCCCAUUGGUUCUUUCCUUGCUGACCAUGCCACAGUGGACCAGCAGAGGCUCUGCAACCUUCUGAAGUCUAAAGGAAGAAGUUCAAAAAGAGGAGGAAGUGGGUAGUUCAUUUCCUGUUUCCGGGUGCCUCUUAAUGACUGUGUGAGAGCUUGGAUCACUUCUCCUCUCUGGUUCCCAAACCACAAAUGGGAAAAACUGCCGUCCUGCAAUAGCCAUGAAACUCUCUGGUUUACAUCAUUAAUGAUAUACAAAAGAAAAAUCUCUUUGGCUCGAUUUCAAUCUCUAUACCACUGAACAAUAAGCACCAAUAAUGCACAUUAGAAAAUACCAUUGGUGGAG